UGGUCUGCCAGUGCAGUGAGCAUUUCAACCU
RNAcentral lists this non-coding RNA (31 nucleotides) under Rattus norvegicus (Norway rat). The record is from RNAcentral. Lineage: Eukaryota; Metazoa; Chordata; Mammalia; Rodentia; Muridae.